RNAcentral lists this small nucleolar RNA (138 nucleotides) under Sparus aurata (gilthead seabream). Its description in RNAcentral is "Small nucleolar RNA SNORA29 (ENSSAUG00010008733.1)". It matches the Rfam family "Small nucleolar RNA SNORA29". From Rfam's summary of the family: ACA29 is a member of the H/ACA class of snoRNA that guide the sites of modification of uridines to pseudouridines. Lineage: Eukaryota; Metazoa; Chordata; Actinopteri; Spariformes; Sparidae. The record is from Rfam by way of RNAcentral.
AGUCCCAUUUCAGUACCUUCCACUCCUAUCACUAUGAAUGGACGGCUAUGCUAAUGGGAUAGAAAAACACUGUCAUGGUCUGAGGGUGUGGCUAACAUACUGUGUACCUCACUAAAUAAUAUGACAGAACAUAAUAUC